UUUCUGGUUGAUCCUGCCGGAGGCGACCGCUAUUGGAGUUCGAUUAAGCCAUGCGAGUCUAGAGGCUUAGGCCUCGGCGUACCGCUCAGUAACACGUGGAUAACCUGCCCUGUUCAGGGGGAUAACCUCGCGAAAGUGAGAAUAAUACCCCAUAGUUCACCAUGCCUGGAACGGUUGGUGGAUGAAAGCUCAGGCGGAACAGGAUGGGUCUGCGGCGUAUCAGGUAGUAGGGGGUGUAAUGGACCUCCUAGCCAUCGACGCGUACGGGUUGUGGGAGCAAUCGCCCGGAGAUGGAUUCUGAGACACGAAUCCAGACCCUACGGGGUGCAGCAGGCGCGAAAACUUGACAAUGCGAGAAAUCGUGAUCAGGGAACUCCAAUUGUCUCCGUUUUUACGGAGUUCUGAAUUGACUCUAAACAGGUCGAGUAAUAGGGGCGGGAAAUAUCGGUGCCAGCCGCCGCGGUAAUACCGAAGCCCCAAGUGGUCGUCGUUCUUAUUGGGCCUAAAACGUCCGUAGCCGGUUUGGUACAUUCGUGGGUAAAUCAGACAGCUUAACUGUCUGAAUUCUGCGAGCACGGCCAAACUUGAGACCGGGAGAGGUGUAGGGUACCUGCGGGGUAGGGGUAAAAUCCUGUCAUCCCGUAGGGACCACCAGUUGCGAAGGCUCUACACUAGAACGGAUCUGACGGUCAGGGACGAAGCCUAGGGGCACGAACCGGAUUAGAUACCCGGGUAGUCCUAGGUGUAAACGCUGUGGACUUUGUGUCGGGGAUUCUUCGAGGAUUCUCGGUGCCGGAGUGAAGAUGUUAAGUCCACUGCCUGGGGAGUACGGUCGCAAGGCUGAAACUUAAAGGAAUUGGCGGGGGAGCACUGCAACGAGAGGAGCGUGCGGUUUAAUUAGAUUCAACGCCGGG
Molecule: ribosomal RNA, 914 nt
Filed under: uncultured archaeon
Lineage: Archaea
Description: bacterial SSU rRNA
Rfam family: Archaeal small subunit ribosomal RNA
Source: RNAcentral